UUCGUAGGGGAACGCGGCAGUC
This 22-nucleotide microRNA is filed under the name Callorhinchus milii (elephant shark). Its description in RNAcentral is "eshark_NOVEL_277". Lineage: Eukaryota; Metazoa; Chordata; Chondrichthyes; Chimaeriformes; Callorhinchidae. The record is from RNAcentral.